This 2222-nucleotide long non-coding RNA is filed under the name Salmo salar (Atlantic salmon). Its description in RNAcentral is "lncRNA (ENSSSAG00000112568.1)". Lineage: Eukaryota; Metazoa; Chordata; Actinopteri; Salmoniformes; Salmonidae. The record is from RNAcentral.
UGAAUGAGAGUGUGUGUAUAUGUGUACAAACACCUGCACGGCCUCAGCCUCAGGAAAACUCUGCCACUUAGUGUCAUUCAAAUGUACUUUUUAUUAUGAUUUAUUUUUUAAACUUUAAAAAAAAAGUAUUUUUGACCAUGAUUCUCUCUGUCACUCAGCAACUCCACUCCCACUUGUCUCCAAUUCCACAUACCUUCCCUCAGCCCAUCCCAACUAUCUCUGCUAUGAAACUUUGUCAAUGAUGACACAAUCUUUCAAAGUGUGUGAUUGUACACGUAUUUUUAAAACGUUCACUCACUGCCUAUAGACCGUUACCAUAUGGUGUUCAAAUGUAUUAUGAACGUUUCACUGACCUGCAUUUCAGGUUUGUUCUUUGUGUGCAUGUAUGGAUAACAUUAUGGUGACAUAUAACGACCUUCUGCUGUUAUAGGUGACAAUUGAACUCCACAAGUGCUACUCUAGGAUCAUGUUCUCCCUGUCUAGUGAAAUGCUCUGUUCGGGAUGGGCAACCCCUUGCUCGACAUCUCAGCUGGACAACGACUUCCUCCACAAGUAUGGACUGAAGCCCAGCACCCAGAUACUGACCGAGGACAAGCACAAAGCCAUGAAAAAGUGUUUCCCCCAUAGUGAACAGAGGGGUGGCACUUUCCAGCACCUCUCCGGAACCAUACUUUAACAACUGAAUUCCGGUCGGACCUCCUUUACCAGAACACAGCUGGCUUUCAUGCUGCAGGCAUGGGGGCUGGUAAUUGCAGACACACAGAGGACCUGAGCCCUAGGACCAUGCCUCACGACUACCUGGCAUGAUGACUCCUUGCUGUCCCCAGUCCACCUGGCCGUGCUGCUGCUCCAGUUUCAACUGUUCUGCCUGCAGCUAUGGAACCCUGACCUGUUCACUGGAUGUGCUACCUGUCCCAGACCUGCUGUUUUCAACUCUCUAGAGACAGCAGGAGCGGUAGAGAUACUCGCAAUGAUCGGCUAUGAAAAGCCAACUGACAUUUACUCUUGGGGUGCUGACUUGUUGCACCCUCGACAACUACUGUGAUUACUAUUAUUUGACCCUGGUGGUCAUUUAUGAACAUUUGAACAUCUUGGCCAUGUUCUGUUAUAAUCUCCACCCGGCACAGCCAGAAGAGGAUUGGCCACCCCUCAUAGCCUGGUUCCUCUCUAGGUUUCUUCCUAGGUUUUGGUUUUGGCCUUUCUAGGUAGUUUUUCCUAGCCACCGUGCUUCUACACCUGCAUUGCUUGCUGUUUGGGGUUUUAGGCUUGCUUUCUGUACAGCACUUUUAGAUAUCAGCUGAUGUAAGAAGGGCUAUAUAAAUACAUUUGAUUUGAAGUCAGAUUCUACUUUAAAAAUGGGGCAGUGUAGUUUCAUCUUGGAUUUACUUUGUGGAAUCAUUUUUUUUAUUUGAUAGAAUUAAGAGAACAGUGUUUGGCCAGUGUUAGGCUAGUAGCCUAUUCAUGCACUUGUUUUAAUACCCUUUGAGUUUAAACAAAUGUUUUAAUGUAGUCGCAUGUAUACAGAAUCUGAUCAAUAUUUUGUUAUCUGUACAACAGUGCCACCGUGUGGCUGGAAAUGGAACCUAAUGGUCACAUGACACUGUAUAGUACAGGAUAAACAGAAUAUUUACCCUCUCUCUCCUGCAGGUGGCAAGAGCAGCGUUUUCUUUACCGGGAUUCAACAUGACAACAUUAGAAAACACAACUCAAAUCUGCAAAAGAGAAAAUGGCAUCUACUUUUCAUAGUUAUGAUAAAUAUACUUUUUAGAGUGGCAUUCAUUUGUAUUAUUAUGACUAAGGCAUAGGGACUGUAUUGUUGUCUAGGAAAUAUUCUCAGGCAUAUAUUAAACCAUAUGUCAUAUAAACAUCAAAUUACACUUUUAUUAGUCUGUUCGAGAUAACAUAAACCAUGUCAUUUAGCCUCUACACAGAGUAAUUCAACAGCCUCUUGUUAAAUAUUGUCAUAUUAACCCUGAAAUUAGGCAAUUAAAUUACCCUGUUAGAUGACUGAAUGAAGCCCUUUUCAUCAAUAAGGACCCCCAGAUAAAUAUUCAACAGCUUCCUGCGUGAACUGUACAUACAACCUGUUCACUAUUAGUUUAUCAUGACACCUGCGUCUGUCCAAUUCAAUGAUAAUAAAUAGUUUAGUUUCUCAUCUUGGCACUGAUGGUAAUGACUCCUUUCAGAGCUUGUUUGCUCACAGCAAUUAAGUUCAAUCAGCG